RNAcentral lists this ribosomal RNA (253 nucleotides) under uncultured bacterium. RNAcentral's name for it is "partial 16S ribosomal RNA". It matches the Rfam family "Bacterial small subunit ribosomal RNA", at positions 524 to 776 of the family's 1533-position model. The record is from RNAcentral.
UACGUAGGGGGCAAGCGUUGUCCGGAAUCAUUGGGCGUAAAGCGCGCGUAGGCGGCCCGGUAAGUCCGUUGUGAAAGUCAAAGGCUCAACCUUUGAACGCCGAUGGAUACUGCCGGGCUAGAGUCCGGAAGAGGCGAGUGGAAUUCCUGGUGUAGCGGUGAAAUGCGUAGAUAUCGGGAGGAACACCAGUGGCGAAGGCGGCUUUCUGGACCAAUACUGACGAUCAGGUGCGAAAGCGUGGGGAGCAAACAGG